GUGCGUUUGCUGGCAGCCUACACAUGCAAGUCGAGCGGAUGAGAAGAGCUUGCUCUUCGAUUCAGCGGCGGACGGGUGAGUAAUGCCUAGGAAUCUGCCUGGUAGUGGGGGACAACGUUUCGAAAGGAACGCUAAUACCGCAUACGUCCUACGGGAGAAAGCAGGGGACCUUCGGGCCUUGCGCUAUCAGAUGAGCCUAGGUCGGAUUAGCUAGUUGGUGGGGUAAUGGCUCACCAAGGCGACGAUCCGUAACUGGUCUGAGAGGAUGAUCAGUCACAGUGGGACUGAGACACGGUCCAGACUCCUACGGGAGGCAGCAGUGGGGAAUAUUGGACAAUGGGCGAAAGCCUGAUCCAGCCAUGCCGCGUGUGUGAAGAAGGUCUUCGGAUUGUAAAGCACUUUAAGUUGGGAGGAAGGGCAGUAAGCGAAUACCUUGCUGUUUUGACGUUACCGACAGAAUAAGCACCGGCUAACUCUGUGCCAGCAGCCGCGGUAAUACAGAGGGUGCAAGCGUUAAUCGGAAUUACUGGGCGUAAAGCGCGCGUAGGUGGUUUGUUAAGUUGAAUGUGAAAGCCCCGGGCUCAACCUGGGAACUGCAUCCAAAACUGGCAAGCUAAGAGUACGGAAAGGGUUGGUGGAAUU
RNAcentral lists this ribosomal RNA (642 nucleotides) under Pseudomonas putida. RNAcentral's name for it is "bacterial SSU rRNA". It matches the Rfam family "Bacterial small subunit ribosomal RNA", at positions 31 to 668 of the family's 1533-position model. The record is from RNAcentral. Lineage: Bacteria; Pseudomonadati; Pseudomonadota; Gammaproteobacteria; Pseudomonadales; Pseudomonadaceae.